RNAcentral lists this ribosomal RNA (532 nucleotides) under uncultured fungus. RNAcentral describes it as "SSU rRNA". It matches the Rfam family "Eukaryotic small subunit ribosomal RNA", at positions 109 to 644 of the family's 1831-position model. The record is from RNAcentral. Lineage: Eukaryota; Fungi.
GUUAUCGUUUAUUUGAUAAUACCUUACUACUUGGAUAACCGUGGUAAUUCUAGAGCUAAUACAUGCUGAAAAUCCCGACUUCGGAAGGGAUGUGUUUAUUAGAUAAAAAACCAAUGCCCUUCGGGGCUUUUUGGUGAUUCAUGAUAACUUUACGGAUCGCAUAGCCUUGCGCUGGCGACGGUUCAUUCAAAUUUCUGCCCUAUCAACUUCCGAUGGUAAGGUAUUGGCUUACCAUGGUUUCAACGGGUAACGGGGAAUUAGGGUUCGAUUCCGGAGAGGGAGCCUGAGAAACGGCUACCACAUCCAAGGAAGGCAGCAGGCGCGCAAAUUACCCAAUCCCGACACGGGGAGGUAGUGACAAUAAAUACUGAUACAGGGCUCUUUUGGGUCUUGUAAUUGGAAUGAGUACAAUUUAAACCUCUUAACGAGGAACAAUUGGAGGGCAAGUCUGGUGCCAGCAGCCGCGGUAAUUCCAGCUCCAAUAGCGUAUAUUAAAGUUGUUGCAGUUAAAAAGCUCGUAGUUGAAACUUGG